Molecule: transfer RNA, 74 nt
Filed under: Ipomoea nil (Japanese morning glory)
Lineage: Eukaryota; Viridiplantae; Streptophyta; Magnoliopsida; Solanales; Convolvulaceae
Rfam family: tRNA
About the family: Transfer RNA (tRNA) molecules are approximately 80 nucleotides in length. Their secondary structure includes four short double-helical elements and three loops (D, anti-codon, and T loops).
Source: Rfam by way of RNAcentral
GCUGGAAUAGCUCAGUUGGUUAAAUCAUGUGGCUGUUAACCACAAGGUUGGUAGUUUAAGCCCUCUUUUUAGCG